This is a long non-coding RNA of Salvelinus namaycush (lake trout), 2140 nucleotides long. RefSeq lists it as uncharacterized. NCBI's taxonomy places the organism in Eukaryota, Metazoa, Chordata, Actinopteri, Salmoniformes, Salmonidae. The transcript has 3 exons. The record is from RefSeq and is a predicted model, not a curated record.
ACUUGCUUGACCAUACCGCAGCUGAUAGAACUGUGUGUUACAUGCAAUAUUUGCUUAGUGGACUUCACCGGACAGAUGUUGCUCUCCGGUUUUGUGAUGAAACAAAGACAGCCCCUGAAGACGGCACGGACAGACAGCCCCUGAAGACGGCACGGACAGACAGCCCCUGAAGACGGCACGGGCAGACAGCCCCUGAAGACGGCACGGACAGACAGCCCCUGAAGACGGCACGGACAGAGAGCCCCUGAAGACGGCACGGACAGCACAGGUUGACCAUAAAGGCAGCCAAGUGGGGGCCCCUCAGAGGAAGAAGGCCAUGCCUUGCCGGUCGGUCCCUGGCACAAGGCUGCUGUAGAACAACCAGGAACGAACAACUGUCACAGACGUAACUGAGUUAAUGGACUGCCAGUGGGUGUUCACAUCCUAUUCUAUCCAUAACACCGCAGGUAGUCCAGCCUAGGGCUGCCUGCGACCUUAGUGGCACCCUAUUCUCUAUAUAGGGCCAUUCUUUUGACCAGGGACCAUGGGGAAUAGGGUGCCACUUGAGGAGCAGCCUAGCUGUUAAGAGUCCUUCCUAUCAACAGGGGGAAAGGAACAUCACACAAACCAAUGGGGUUACCAUGGAAACCACCAUGCUCUCUCUGUCUCUCCCCCUGGCUUACUCUUCAUUAGUGUUGAGAAGAGAACAUGGAUUGCUCAUAGACAGACAGGACAAAGAGGACAAUGCUGGGGGCUGGAAGACUAACCGACACACACACACACACACACAGUUUGAGAGGGAUCCCUGCAGACCCCCAAACAAUUGUGCUUGCCAAAACAAAAUGUUAUUUUUUGUUGUUGUUGAAAGAAAUAGUGCCCCUUUUGUGUACUGUAUACCUGAUAUGGUACAGGAAAGGUAUGAAAAACUGGAUACCACCCAACCCUAACACACACACACACAUACAGACAAAUGCUGGGGGCUGCUGGACUAAUUGAGACACAUUGAGAGUCUGUGCCUCUGAUGCAAGGUUAUUAUAGUGAAUGACAACUGAAACAAAAAAACACAUUUCAUAAACUGAAAUAAAACAAUUAAAUGAUUAUCUUUGACUCCAAAACAAAACCAAAAUAAAUCAAAAACCAGUUUGAGUUUUUUCUUCUUCUGAAAUUUGGGCAAAAAUCUAAGUGUUUUCAAGCUUCUUUUGGGGUUUUUCCCCCCUAAGGCCGAGGCUGUGGAUGAGUAGGUAUCCGCCCCGUCCAGCCGCCCUGGAACCCCUGAAAAGAUCCAUCAUGUCCCGUGCAUGUGUUUCUUUACCUCUCCUUUACGCACACAUUGUUGUCAUCAAUUCACAUUUCUCCCUGUCAAUUUCAAGCUUUACCGGUGACGUAUCCAUGCAGCAUCUGCAUGCCAACCAUUCGAUCUUAAAUCAGUGUCACGGGAAAAGGCAUUUACAACUUCUUAGUUACGUACAGAGUUGUUUCGAAAUACUUACAGUGAGCGAAUUGUAGAGCAGAUGGCGUAAACAAAACUGUAGCAUACCUGUGUUUUGCCUCAAUCAAAGCACAUAUUUUACCUAGUGAUGCGCUGUUGAGUUGUGGCCGCAUGAGAGAAACAUUUGACGGGUCGCACAAUCGUCCUAAAACCUCAUGAGAAAUGAGGUGGUGUUUCUGUCCUCAGGUAACGUUCUACUAUGUUAUUAUGUUUGGUUGUGUAGAAAAUUAUCAUUAUGUGAUCUAGCAGACAUUCAUUCAGCUUUGAUCUGACUUUAUUAAAAUGAGCACCAUUCUCCUGAGUAGCCUGUUCUGUACGAGUAGAGCAAGUUUAAGUAGAGAAUCCCAUUAGCAGCAUACCACCCUGCAUCCCACUGCUGGCUUAGCUCUGAAGCUAAGCAGUGUUGGUCCUGGUCGGUCCCUGGAUGGGAGACCAGAUGCUGCUGGAAAUGGUUUUGUAGGGCCAGUAUGACACACUCUUUCCUCUGGUCUGAAAAAAUAUAUAUAAUAUCCCAGGGCAGUGACAUUUCCGUAUUUCGGCUGGGACGUUAAACCGAUGUCCUGACUCUCUGGGGUCACUAAAGGCUAAAUUCCCAAUCUGGCCCUAAUACCCGAAUGGCCACUUAAUCAUCCCCAGCUUCCAAUUGGUUCAUUCAUCUCCCCUGUAACUAUU